CAGUCGAGCGAGCGGUUUCAUGAAGUUUUCGGAUGGAAUUGAAAUUGACUUAGCGGCGGACGGGUGAGUAACGCGUGGGUAACCUGCCUUACACUGGGGGAUAACAGUUAGAAAUGACUGCUAAUACCGCAUAAGCGCACAGGGCCGCAUGGUCUGGUGUGAAAAACUCCGGUGGUGUAAGAUGGACCCGCGUCUGAUUAGGUAGUUGGUGGGGUAACGGCCCACCAAGCCGACGAUCAGUAGCCGACCUGAGAGGGUGACCGGCCACAUUGGGACUGAGACACGGCCCAAACUCCUACGGGAGGCAGCAGUGGGGAAUAUUGGACAAUGGGCGAAAGCCUGAUCCAGCGACGCCGCGUGAGUGAAGAAGUAUUUCGGUAUGUAAAGCUCUAUCAGCAGGGAAGAAAAUGACGGUACCUGACUAAGAAGCCCCGGCUAACUACGUGCCAGCAGCCGCGGUAAUACGUAGGGGGCAAGCGUUAUCCGGAUUUACUGGGUGUA
This 501-nucleotide ribosomal RNA is filed under the name uncultured bacterium. Its description in RNAcentral is "bacterial SSU rRNA". It matches the Rfam family "Bacterial small subunit ribosomal RNA", at positions 59 to 562 of the family's 1533-position model. The record is from RNAcentral.